UUCUUUUUUUUUUUUUUCAAAUGCCCCUUUCAUUAUGAAACUCUUUUUUAACUUUUAAUUUAAGUUCAGGGGUAUGUGUGCAGAUUUGUUACAUAGGUAAACUUGUGUCAUGGGGCUUUGUUGUACAGAUUGUUUCAUCACCCAGGUAUUAUUUUAUUUUCAUUUUAGUUUUUUAAAUUUCUUUUUAGAGGCGGGGUCUCACUGUGUUUUGCCCAGGCUGGUCUCGAACUCCUCCUGGUCUCAAGCAAUCCUCUCGCCUCUGCCUCCCCAAGUGUUGGGAUUAUAGGCAUGAGCUACUGCACUCAGCCCACCAUUUGUUUUAAAAAGGGUGGAUCCUAUUUGUAUAAAAAGCCAUGUGCAUUUUCUGUGUACUUGUCUACACAUUAAUUUCCAGGCUGGGCGUGGUGGCUCACGCUUGUAAUCCCAGCACUUUGGGAGGCCAAGGGGAGGCAGAUCAUGAGGUUAGGAGAUCGAAACCAUCCUGGCUAACACGGUGAAACCCCGUCUCUACUAAAAAUACAAAAACAAAAUUAGCAGGGUGUUGUGGCGGGCGCCUGUAGUCCCAGCUACUCAGGAGGCUGAGGCAGGAGAAUGGCAUGAACCCGGGAGGUGGAGCUUGCAGUGAGCUGAGAUUGCGCCACUGCCCUCCAGCCUGGACAACAGAGUGAGGCUCCGUCUUAAAGGAAAAAAAUUUCUGGAAUGAUGUCCAAUAAAUCAGAGAGAGGGACUAGAAGACUAAUGAGGACAGAAGCUUUUAUUCUUAACACCUAUAUUUUGCUACCAUUUAUAUUGUCAUCAUAUGCAUAUAACAUUUUAACAUUUAAAAACUAGUUUAAACAGAAAUGGUUGCCCUGGAAUGUGGCCUGUGUUCUUUCAAGGGAGGCCAGCAGUUUCUACAGUGGCUGAGAUGGUACCUUCAUCUCACACACCUACGCAGGAGUGCAUUUGUGCUUUGAUGUGGUUGUCCCUUGAAGAAGGAAGCAGUUCUCUUUUUCUUUUUUCCCUUUUCCAUUAUAGGAUCAGUCACUUCUUGGGGCAUUAGUAGUCUCAUUUCCAGUGGCAUCUUCCCUUGGCAAAAGGAAUCCCAGAUAGGACCUCAUCUUUCUAAACAAAUGCUGUUUUGGGUCCUAACCAUCCCAUGUUUGCUUUGAAUAUGUUUAAGUUGCCUGGAAUUAUCAACAAAAGAAUUAAAUUUAUUGUAGGUCAGGGCAUCUUUUGACUCAUUGUAUAAAACAUUCACUUUAAAUGUAUACCGAAAUGUCCUUUAGGCCGGGCGCAGUGGCAUGAGCCAUGACACCCGGCCUGUAAUUUUCUUUAAAGACUGCCACUGGGUGGAACCCACUGGGCCCAGUGAGAACUACGGAAAAGAGACCCAUUCUUGCCCUCAUUGUUAGUGUCCACAUCCGGAUUUACCUAAACCCCACCCAGGUGGCAUUUGCAUAGUAAUGAAAAACCGGUAUUUUCUAGCUGUGAAUCACACUUCAAAUCCUGAGCGGCUGACUGUCAGGGGUGCGUCAGGCCUGCUUGCUGGGAGAAUGGACGAGCUGGUUGUGGAGCGGGCGGGUCCCGCCACCCGUGGGCUCAGCACUGGACUGCUCCCAGAACAUUAAAGGUCUGGCUGAUGUUCCAUGCCACAUCUGGACAUGAAGACCCAUGUCUGCCCUUCUGUAGAAGGGCCAAAGAAGAAAGGAGGCAUCACAUGUUUCUGCUGUGGGGGGCCCUUCCGAGCAGCAGACAGGAGCAAGGUACAGGAGUGGCCUGAUUCUGGGGUUUCCCUGCCCCCCCUGGGGUCCCUAAACUGCUGUGUGAUAUGUUUCUAACUAUCUGGACAGCUCACCCAAGAGUCAGUUGUUCCCAGUCGCUUCUUGCUGAGGAUAAGCCAAAAGAGGGCCGGGGGCCAAUCUGGUUUCUUUCAAGUGAAAUUAUGCUUCUCAAGCAGAGAAUGAUUGCCCACAGCAGUUAAACCUUGUUUAAUGGUAAUUAAAUUGCUUUUCUUCACUUUGAAAAAUCUCUUAAUUUUCUGUACAAAGGCAGGAAGCAUUUUUCUUUGAUUCUACAGGAUGUUUCUAAGUAUGGUGUAAUCAGUUCAUCUUACCUUGCCGGGCUCUGAAAGAAUGAGUGUGUGGGAUCAGAUUUAGAAAUGCCUCAAAGGUUAGAAAGCCGAGUGCUGCCGAUUAACUCAAGCUCAGAUGACC
RNAcentral lists this long non-coding RNA (2195 nucleotides) under Homo sapiens (human). Its description in RNAcentral is "non-protein coding lnc-THNSL1-3:1". Lineage: Eukaryota; Metazoa; Chordata; Mammalia; Primates; Hominidae. The record is from RNAcentral.